This 429-nucleotide ribosomal RNA is filed under the name Pseudomonadota bacterium. Its description in RNAcentral is "Proteobacteria bacterium partial 16S ribosomal RNA". It matches the Rfam family "Bacterial small subunit ribosomal RNA", at positions 355 to 776 of the family's 1533-position model. The record is from RNAcentral. Lineage: Bacteria; Pseudomonadati; Pseudomonadota.
UGGGGAAUAUUGGACAAUGGGCGAAAGCCUGAUCCAGCCAUGCCGCGUGUGUGAAGAAGGUCUUCGGAUUGUAAAGCACUUUAAGUUGGGAGGAAGGGCAGUAAGCGAAUACCUUGCUGUUUUGACGUUACCGACAGAAUAAGCACCGGCUAACUCUGUGCCAGCAGCCGCGGUAAUACAGAGGGUGCGAGCGUUAAUCGGAUUUACUGGGCGUAAAGCGUGCGUAGGCGGCUAAUUGAGUCGGAUGUGAAAUCCCCGAGCUUAACUUGGGAAUUGCAUUCGAUACUGGUUAGCUAGGGUGUGGGAGAGGAUGGUAGAAUUCCAGGUGUAGCGGUGAAAUGCGUAGAGAUCUGGAGGGAUACCGAUGGCGAAGGCAGCCAUCUGGCCUAACACUGACGCUGAGGUACGAAAGCAUGGGGAGCAAACAGG